RNAcentral lists this ribosomal RNA (247 nucleotides) under uncultured Bacillota bacterium. RNAcentral describes it as "uncultured Firmicutes bacterium partial 16S ribosomal RNA". It matches the Rfam family "Bacterial small subunit ribosomal RNA", at positions 796 to 1041 of the family's 1533-position model. The record is from RNAcentral. Lineage: Bacteria; Bacillati; Bacillota.
CACGCCGUAAACGAUGAAUACUAGGUGUAGGGGGUAUCGACCCCCCCUGUGCCGGAGCAAACGCAAUAAGUAUUCCGCCUGGGGAGUACGACCGCAAGGUUGAAACUCAAAGGAAUUGACGGGGGCCCGCACAAGCAGCGGAGCAUGUCGUUUAAUUCGAUGCAACGCGAAGAACCUUACCAGGGCUUGACAUCCUCUGAAUCCUGCGGAAACGCGGGAGUGCCUUCGGGAGCAGAGAGACAGGUGG